GAUGGUGGCCCCCCGGUAUGGGACAGUUGCCCCCCAGGGUGGGAUGGUAGCCCCCAGGGUGUGGGAUGGUGGCCCCCCGGGGUGGGACAGUUGCCCCCAGAGUGGGAUCCCCCCAGGGUCUGGGCUGGUUGCCCCCUGGAGCAAGAUGGUAGCCCCCAGGGUGGGCUUGUUUCCCCCUUGGUGUGGGACAGUUGCCCCCCAGGGCAGGAUUGUUGCCCCAGAGUGGGAUCCCCCCAGGGUGUGGGUUAGUUGCCCCCUGGGGCAGGAUGGUAGCCCUCGGGGUGGGCUCGUUGCCCCCCAGGGCAGGAUUGUUGCCCCCCAGAGCAGGAUGGUAGCCCUCAGGGUGGGCUUGUUGCCCCCAGAGUGGGAUCCCCCCAGGGUGUGGGCUGGUUGCCCCCCAGAGCAGGAUGGUAGCCCUCAGGGUGGACUUGUUGCCCCCUUGGUGCAGGACAGUUGCCCCCCAGGGUGGGAUGGUAGCCCCCAGGGUGUGGGAUGGUGGCCCCCCGGGGUGGGACAGUUGCCCCCAGAGUGGGAUCCCCCCAGGGUCUGGGCUGGUUGCCCCCUGGAGCAGGAUGGUAGCCCUCAGGGUGGGCUUGUUGCCCCCUUGGUGCAGGACAGUUGCCCCCCAGGGCAGGAUUGUUGCCCCCAGGGUGUGGGAUGGUUGCCCCCCAGGGUGGGAUGGUGGCCCCCUGGGGUGGGACAGUUGCCCCCCAGGGCAGGAUCGUUGCCCCCAGAGGGGGAUCCCCCCAGGGUGUGGGCUGGUUGCCCCCUAGGGUGGGAUGGUGGCCCCCAGAGUUGCAUCCCCCCAGGAUGUGGGUUAGUUGCCCCCUGGGGCAGGAUGGUAGCCCUCAGGGGGCAGGAUCAUUGCCCCCAGGGUGUGGGCUGGUUGCCCCCCCGGGUGGGAUGGUGGCCCCCUGGGGUGGGAUCCUCUCAGGGUAUGGGAUGGUGGCCCCCCGGGGUGGGAUGGUUGCCCCCCAGGGCAGGAUCGUUGCCCCCAGAGUGGGAUCCCCCCAGGGUGUGGGUUAGUUGCCCCCUGGGGCAGGAUGGUAGCCCUCAGGGGUGGGAUGGUUGCCCCCCAAGCAGGAUGGUUGC
Molecule: long non-coding RNA, 1092 nt
Filed under: Calidris pugnax (ruff)
Lineage: Eukaryota; Metazoa; Chordata; Aves; Charadriiformes; Scolopacidae
Description: lncRNA (ENSCPUG00000017865.1)
Source: RNAcentral